AGCAGAGUGGCGCAGUGAGAGCGCACUGGACCGAUAACUCAGAGGUCCGUGGAUCGAAACUACGCUCUGCUA
Araneus ventricosus is the source of this 72-nucleotide non-coding RNA. The record is from the annotation of a GenBank genome assembly. NCBI's taxonomy places the organism in Eukaryota, Metazoa, Arthropoda, Arachnida, Araneae, Araneidae.